This 62-nucleotide small nucleolar RNA is filed under the name Canis lupus dingo (dingo). The record is from RNAcentral. Lineage: Eukaryota; Metazoa; Chordata; Mammalia; Carnivora; Canidae.
AUCCUAUGAUAAACUAGCUCAGUAUGACUUACACAAUGAAAACUCGUGAACAACUGAGAAAC